Molecule: ribosomal RNA, 301 nt
Filed under: uncultured bacterium
Lineage: Bacteria
Description: partial 16S ribosomal RNA
Rfam family: Bacterial small subunit ribosomal RNA
Source: RNAcentral
CAGCAGCCGCGGGAAUACGAAGGGUGCAAGCGUUAAUCGGAAUUACUGGGCGUAAAGCGUGCGUAGGCGGUUUGUUAAGUCUGCUGUGAAAUCCCCGGGCUCAACCUGGGAAUGGCAGUGGAUACUGGCAAGCUAGAGUGUGUCAGAGGAUGGUGGAAUUCCCGGUGUAGCGGUGAAAUGCGUAGAGAUCGGGAGGAACAUCAGUGGCGAAGGCGGCCAUCUGGGACAACACUGACGCUGAGGCACGAAAGCGUGGGGAGCAAACAGGAUUAGAGACCCGCGUAGUCCCUGUCUCUUAUAC